GACGAACGCUGGCGGCGUGCUUAACACAUGCAAGUCGAACGGAAAGGCCCUGCUUUUGUGGGGUGCUCGAGUGGCGAACGGGUGAGUAACACGUGAGUAACCUGCCUUUGACUUUGGGAUAACUUCAGGAAACUGGGGCUAAUACCGCAUAGGAGCUCCUGCUGCAUGGUGGGGGUUGGAAAGUUUCGGCGGUUGGGGUUGGACUCGCGGCUUAUCAGCUUGUUGGCGGGGUAGUGGCUUACCAAGGCUUUGACGGGUAGCCGGCCUGAGAGGGUGACCGGCCCCAUUGGGACUGAGAUACGGCCCAGACUCCUACGGGAGGCAGCAGUGGAGAAUAUUGCACGAUGGGCGGAAGCCUGAUGGAGCAACGCCGCGUGCGGGAUGACGGCCUUCGGGUUGUAAACCGCUUUCGCCUGUGACGAAGCGUGAGUGACGGUAAUGGGUAAAGAAGCACCGGCUAACUACGUG
This 468-nucleotide ribosomal RNA is filed under the name uncultured bacterium. Its description in RNAcentral is "partial 16S ribosomal RNA". It matches the Rfam family "Bacterial small subunit ribosomal RNA", at positions 28 to 507 of the family's 1533-position model. The record is from RNAcentral.